GUUGACAGUAUAUCUAUAGCACAUGCAUACAUUGUUUACACCUUGGCAUCCGUCAGAUCGUGUACAGACUUUCAAUUGCCAUCGCGACUAUGUAGAGUUUGUGUCAUGCUGCAUGCAUGUUUGUGUGAUUGUCAUCAAAACGAUCCUCAUUAUAAUACAAACGCAAUCGAUACAUAUCUCUACAGACGAGUAGGAGUCUAUCUAAUUGACUUGGUCAUUUACCUUGAACGGUUUAUACAAGACUUUCGCGCUUCAAUAAACAAUGUCUGUAGACAAAGAAGAGUGCUUCGUUUGCAUCGAAGAGGACGACGACGAGACACUGAAGUCCCCACGUUUGGUUCAUGAAAACUGCACAGACGGAGAGGACGUCUUCAUAUGUGACGAGCAUUCGGAGGACUAUAUCGAAGAUAGGAAAUGUCCGCGUUGUGAGGAGUCUUACACGCUUCAAGAUGUCUAGAUAGGCGAAUGAAGAUUCAAGUCGUUAGUAUAGCUUCAUGCUUAUGGGACAAUAGCUUCAACGCUUCGAUUUCAUUAUUUGUGUUUUGCUAAAGCACUGCUAUACACAUGUGUUGUUAUUUUGCGGUUUGCAAUACACGUUAUGUUGACGUCAUAAACUCUAAUUGUGCAAAAUUGUUUGCGUGUGUAGCAUAUUGCGUAAGACGUCUCCGCAAACAGCAGUUAUGAAAUGAACGCGUGUAUAGCCCUGAUUUACCUCCCUACAGAGCCAACUCAAAGUUCUAGACUCCGCUACUUCGUCUAACUUUGCUCAAUGCGUUUGAACAGCAUUUAUAUUGCUUAGAUCUAAAAAGAUGAGAAAGUUUGGCCUAAUUUUAGAAGGGGAUACCUAUAGAAAUUAGAUCAGAACACAUGCACGUAGGUGGAGGUUCUAAGACGUGGGGGUUGAGAUAUUUGCGCAAGGUCGUGUUUCAUAAUCUCAACUGUUUUCAGCAAGGCUUGACAGAGCUCAGUAUUACUGCUUCGGAAAGAUGUCUUCUUCCCGAAAACAAGCGUGUUGGACUUGUUCGACGGAAUACGGAGAUGAAAAUCCGAAGACUCCCAAACAAGUGCAUUGGAAUUGUACAGGAGGAGAGCAUGUCUACUUGUGCUAUUCGCAUUCCCAAGGGAUUUGCAGUUUCAAGACAUGUCCACGCUGUAACACUUCAUUUGCGCUUAGUGAUGCUUGAUUUCGUAUCUUGAAUGACAUGCAUGCUCCAUUCCUAUUGUGAGGACAUGCGUCUAUCUGGUUUGCGUGUUUGUAACUGCCUGCUUUCUUGCUAGUGUUUCAUUAUGAUUUCGUUAUCUUACAUGCAAUUGUUUGGCAAUACAAAUGCUAGACGAACUUUGCUAGAG
This is a long non-coding RNA of Corticium candelabrum, 1350 nucleotides long. RefSeq lists it as uncharacterized. NCBI's taxonomy places the organism in Eukaryota, Metazoa, Porifera, Homoscleromorpha, Homosclerophorida, Plakinidae. The record is from RefSeq and is a predicted model, not a curated record. The transcript has 3 exons.